AGUAACGCGUAGGUAACCUGCCUCAUAGCGGGGGAUAACUAUUGGAAACGAUAGCUAAUACCGCAUAAGAGUAAUUAACACAUGUUAGUUAUUUAAAAGGAGCAAUUGCUUCACUGUGAGAUGGACCUGCGUUGUAUUAGCUAGUUGGUGAGGUAAAGGCUCACCAAGGCGACGAUACAUAGCCGACCUGAGAGGGUGAUCGGCCACACUGGGACUGAGACACGGCCCAGACUCCUACGGGAGGCAGCAGUC
RNAcentral lists this ribosomal RNA (252 nucleotides) under uncultured Streptococcus sp. RNAcentral describes it as "partial 16S ribosomal RNA". It matches the Rfam family "Bacterial small subunit ribosomal RNA", at positions 109 to 355 of the family's 1533-position model. Lineage: Bacteria; Bacillati; Bacillota; Bacilli; Lactobacillales; Streptococcaceae. The record is from RNAcentral.